GGGCCUGUAGCUUAGCCUGGUUAGAGCACCAGUCUUAUAAACUGGUGGUCGAGGGUUCAAAGCCCGUCCCCU
This 72-nucleotide transfer RNA is filed under the name Candidatus Micrarchaeota archaeon CG1_02_51_15. RNAcentral's name for it is "tRNA-Ile". It matches the Rfam family "tRNA", at positions 1 to 62 of the family's 71-position model. From Rfam's summary of the family: Transfer RNA (tRNA) molecules are approximately 80 nucleotides in length. Their secondary structure includes four short double-helical elements and three loops (D, anti-codon, and T loops). Lineage: Archaea; Nanobdellati; Microcaldota. The record is from RNAcentral.